This is an RNA transcript of Urocitellus parryii (Arctic ground squirrel), 6220 nucleotides long. It is a transcript of the gene named protein phosphatase, Mg2+/Mn2+ dependent 1A, with no coding region annotated. NCBI's taxonomy places the organism in Eukaryota, Metazoa, Chordata, Mammalia, Rodentia, Sciuridae. The record is from RefSeq and is a predicted model, not a curated record.
UGGGAUUACAGGCAUGUGCACCGCACCCAGUGACUCUUGUCAUUUUUAAUCACAUCAGGAGAUAGUCUUUUAAAAAAGAAAAGCAGCCCAAGUAGACUUUUGGAGGAGUUACACAAGAAGAUAAAAUAAGACCUAGAGGAUCAAGACAUAAUGGGAGCAUUUUUAGACAAGCCAAAGAUGGAAAAGCAUAAUGCCCAGGGGCAGGGUAAUGGGUUGCGAUAUGGGCUAAGCAGCAUGCAAGGUUGGCGAGUUGAAAUGGAGGAUGCACAUACGGCUGUGAUCGGUUUGCCAAGUGGACUUGAAACAUGGUCAUUCUUUGCUGUGUAUGAUGGGCAUGCUGGUUCUCAGGUUGCCAAAUACUGCUGUGAGCAUUUGUUAGAUCACAUCACCAAUAACCAGGAUUUUAAAGGGUCUGCAGGAGCACCUUCUGUGGAAAAUGUAAAGAAUGGAAUCAGAACAGGUUUUCUGGAAAUUGAUGAACACAUGAGAGUUAUGUCAGAGAAGAAACAUGGUGCAGAUAGAAGUGGGUCAACAGCUGUGGGUGUCUUAAUUUCUCCCCAACAUACUUAUUUCAUUAACUGUGGAGACUCAAGAGGUUUACUUUGUAGGAACAGGAAAGUUCACUUCUUCACACAAGAUCAUAAACCAAGUAAUCCGCUGGAAAAAGAACGAAUUCAGAAUGCAGGUGGCUCUGUAAUGAUUCAGCGUGUGAAUGGUUCUCUGGCUGUAUCAAGGGCCCUUGGGGAUUUUGAUUACAAAUGUGUCCAUGGAAAAGGUCCUACAGAGCAGCUUGUCUCACCAGAGCCUGAAGUUCAUGAUAUUGAAAGAUCUGAAGAAGAUGAUCAGUUCAUUAUUCUUGCAUGUGAUGGUAUCUGGGAUGUUAUGGGAAAUGAAGAGCUCUGUGAUUUUGUAAGAUCCAGACUUGAAGUCACUGAUGAUCUUGAGAAAGUUUGCAAUGAAGUAGUCGACACCUGUUUGUAUAAGGGAAGUCGAGACAACAUGAGUGUGAUUUUGAUCUGUUUUCCAAAUGCACCCAAAGUAUCACCAGAAGCAGUGAAGAAGGAGGCAGAGUUGGACAAGUACCUGGAAUGCAGAGUAGAAGAAAUCAUAAAGAAGCAGGGAGAAGGCGUCCCCGACUUAGUCCAUGUGAUGCGCACAUUAGCAAGUGAGAACAUCCCCAGCCUCCCACCAGGAGGUGAAUUGGCAAGCAAGCGGAAUGUAAUUGAAGCUGUUUACAAUAGACUGAAUCCUUACAAAAAUGAUGAYGCUAGCUGUUCACUGCACCCAUUCUCUUACACACACCCCUGAUUGAUUGCUCUGAACUCUGCUUGCUCUGAUCUCUGCCUGCACCACAGUACUAGUGAUUGAGGACAUAAUCUUGGACUCAGCAUCAACUGAUGACAUGUGGUAAAACUGCUCAUCUAGCCAUGGAGUUUACCUUCACUUCCAAAGGAGAGUGCAACUCAACUUUGUUGAACCUUUUAGCAUCCAGCCUCAACUUAAGGAAGGGGAUAUGACAUGGGUGAGAGUGAUUACACCAGAGAACUUCAGCAGUACAACAGCUAGCCCAGAACUGAUUUUCUUUUCUUUUUUUUUUUGUAAAUUUGAGACUUAUGUAAACGUGAUUUCAAACCAUAAUUCAUGUUGUAAAUCAGACUCCAGCAAUUUUUGUUGUAUGAUUUUUUUUUUGUAAAGUGUAAUUGUCCUUGUACAAAAUGCUCAUAUUUAAUUAUGAACUGCUUUAAAAUCACUAUCGAAGAUAAAAGAAAUGUUUGGCUUGUUGUGUGAUGCAACAGAUAUAUAGCCCUUUCAAGUCAUGUUAUAUUUGGAUUUGGGGUUGGGACAGGGAGAGCAGCAGCCAUGUCAGCUAGGUGCUCAAACAUGCACAUGAUUAUGGAGAAGAAUUUCAAAAUCUUACAAAGCUGAAUAUCCCAGGAGUGAUGGAAAACUAUCUUAAUGUUCUUGGCAAGGGAUUGGCAUUGUUGAUAAAGCCACUCUCUUUAUUUAACUGUGUUUCAGAAUGUUCUCUCCUUGUUGCUAUGAGUAUUGCAGGUAAUACAGUAUAUUCAUAAGAAUAUCAAUCUUGGGGCUAAAAUGCCUUGAUUCUUUGCACCUCUUUUACAAGUCCUUACAUUUAAUUACUAAUUGAUAAGCAGCAGCUUCCUACAUAUAGUAGGAGACUGCCACAUUUUUGCUAUCAUGAUUGGCUGGGCCUGCUGCUGUUCCUAGUAAGAUAUUCUGAAUUCCAUUUUAUCAAUAAAGCUUGAUUUAACAAACAAGAAAUUUAAUCAUGUAUGUGUAAUUCCUCUUUUACCCCGGCCUUUUAAAACACCAUACCAUUGUAAAUGAGAUGUUCUCAAAGGGAAAGAUGUUAGUCUCUUUUAAUUUGACAAUACUGUUUCAGUCACCAAUGAAAUUGUUUUCCUUCCAUUAGAAAACCUUAAAAGAUUUAAGUCUCUCUUGUUCCUUAAUUUGUUUUUCAAAAUAAGUUUCUUUCAGGCUGCUUACUUUUCAUUAAGAUGUACAUCAGCUUGAAUUUGCCUACUGUUUAAUUAAAUAAUUGUCAAAGUUUGACAAUCUAACUCUCUAUGGUAGGUAUGUGUGUGUUUGUGUGUGUUUGCCUGUGACUUUUAAUUGGCCCAUGUCUUUAGAAUCCAAGUGGUUAAGAUGUAUUUGUGAUUUGAAAUAUAGCAUGUUGAUAAUAUUUAGCUGUUGGCCUUUAAAAAUAAAUUUCAAAGCUUAAGGAAUUGUAGAUAUAAACCUAAUUUAAUUUAGGCUUAAAUUUUUCUGAUUAAGCAUGUGAAAGUAAGUUUUACAAUCUGUCACAUUGAAAAGACUACUGUUCUGUGCCCUUUUGUAUUUUUGUCUUUCUAGGUUGAAUAUUGUAUUUAUUAUCAUGUAAAUGAAUCAGUUAGUAAGCAGAUUCCCCACUAGAAAACUACUAAAAUGUAAGAUUAAAAUACAGCAUUAAAUACAAAAUCAGAAUUUUGUGUAUAAAGCUAGUAUAAUACAUUUUGUUUUGUUUGUUUUCCCUAACUUGGAAAUAUACAUAUUUGUAUAUAUAGCCUUAAAACUAAUGUAAAGUUAGGGAACCUAGUAGGAAAAGUAAUGUAAAAUGUCUCAGAUUUAAGUAGUUACAUACCAGCAAACUCUUUUCAAUAUCCCUCUUAUUUGUGAGGUGAUUAAAUGUAAUUUAAUUGUAUUUAAUUUAUCUCUUAAUCCAGCAUGAAUGAAGAAAAACUGAAGUACUAUUUAUAUUUAGAAAUUCAGAAAAGUUGGAAUUACAGAACCAAUUCCUUACUUAACUUACAAUAAAUGCUUAAUGUCUAAAUCUGUGGUAAAGUGCGAAGUAUGAUAAUGUUCUAAGUUAUGACUUUGCAAGCAUUUAAAUUUGCACUUAAUGAAUACCAGUGCUUCUAGUGUAGAUUUGAUUACCAAACAUGCCAGUACUAAAAGCUAACCUCCCUAUCACAACAAACCAGUUCCUUAACUUUUUAAUAAAUAACCAAAAGUUUUUAGUUUCAUAAUUUGCAAAAUAUUUAACUGGAUUGUGGUAUCUUUUAGAUGCAAAACUUGAACCAUAAGUAAAACAYGUGAUGGGAAGCUAUAUUUCAAACCAUAAUAGCAUAGCAUAGCAUAGCAUAUUAUAACUUUUUUUUUGAGAGUCUUUUAAACAAAAGAGAAAAUUAAGAUACUCCUCUGUUAAARUUUUUAAUAUUGAAAUUGGCCUGAAAUGUGAGAAGACUGUGUUUAAAUUUGAUUUAAGAAGACUAAAUCUUUUCCAUAUGAGUCAACACUGCCGUACAAAAUAUAACUUUCCAUUUUAAAAAUGCAGAAAGGAACUUUACAUUGUGCUAGCAGACUGCUUGACUCCUAGGGGUAAUGGUCAUGGUGAGAAACAACCACAUUUAAAAGGCAUUUUUGCACCUCUUCUGUGCACUUCAUUUUUGUACCUCUUGAAUUCUCAGCCCCCACUGUUUUUUAAUACUAAUUAGCAUCUCAGGGCAUUGCCUCAGAAUUUUUGGUGUAUUCUAUGUUUUUUUUUUGGGGGGGGGGGAGGUGGUUCUUAUCUGAGGAUAUAUAGAUUUAUUAAGAUUAAACUUUCAUUUAGGUAUCAUAUUAUGAUAAACCCAGUUUACUGCUGUUAACCAGAAAUUCAGUUUUGUAUAGCCAGAUUCUUACUACCUAACAUUAAAAUAUUUCACUUAUCUAAUUCUUAUUAUUUUAACAAGAUCUCCCUAAUUUUCACCUUCUUUAGGAAUAUACUUUUACAGAUAACAGAAGCAGUUCUCAGUAUUAUCUUUUAAAAAUUAAAUCAAAGUGGUAUUUUUCUUAUUCAGUUUUAGAACUAUCCUCAAACAUUUUUAAUUGUAACAAUUUAUUUCUAGAGAACUAUGCAAUUGUUCCAGGUUAAUUUUUAUGCAAACGUCAUAACAUUAAGAAAUUUGGAUUAGAGAAUAUAUCAGUUAUAUAAUUCAAAUAAUCCAAAUUAUAAUGGUCAUACAUUUGACCAUAUAUUAAUCUUUCUAAUAACUCAGUUUUUCCACAAACUGUUAUCUACAAAACACUGAUCUAGGUUAAAUUCCUUAGGACUGUAAAUAGAUUGAAUGGGUCAUUAUCUUCAAGGAGUUUCCAUUUGGGCAAAAUUAAUAACCUAAAGAUAUGUUAGUAUUAUAACUGGAUUACUCAUCAAAAUAUAUAUAUAUAUAUAUAUUUUGCCCACCUUCUGUUUGUCAGGUACUUUACUGAACAAAAGGUAUGCUUCUGCCCUAAAGGGCUCAUUUUGUUGCWUUUAUUCACCUGAAAACUAUUGUUUCUUUUCUCCUCCCCAAAGUUAAAAAUCUCAAAAGAAAAUUUAGCUCCGCAUAAGAGUAAAAUUGGACUGAUGAAGCAAGGCUUAAGUCUAUUUAAGCAUUCUUGAUUAUCUAUAACAAAUGACCUUCACUUAUUCUGUUGGCAGCAGCAAGUCAGAAAUAAGUCAUAGAUUUCUUAGAAUUUUCCAAUCCUGAGAAUACAGGUGGGAUUUGAGGGAGGGCAUUUAAAAAAAUAAGUAUCUCUAGCUAAAUUGAUCUUGUUUAAGUAAAACUUUUUUGUGUUCUUUCUUUUAAUAACAUAGUGCCCKUGUUGAUACCACAUUUUAGCCAAAUGAUUACCAUUAAGUAAUCACUAACCAUCUUUACUGGACAAAUUCAUCUGGGAAUUCAAUGUGUGAUUUCUGAAAGAACUGAUGAAAUUGGGUACUAAUUUCCUUCUAGUUUUAUUUUAAUUUUGAAUUUCAUGGCAUAUACUUUUAGCUCAACUUUGUAUUUUAGUAUUGUAUUAGGAUUUGGUACUAGAAAGGAUAAGUAAACAUUUCAGUAUAUAAAUAUUUAUUAUUUGGGUUUCUUAGGGAGUUUCAUAUACUUUUGCUUAUAAAUACUGAUAAGUUGGCCAUUUUUAAAUUGACUACUCACAGUUUUUAGGCAUCAGGAAGUCUACUUCAUGUUUUAAAAUUUUARAAGCCUAAUUUUACUUUAUUUCCUUAAAUAAUGUGCCAUGUGUUUUGGUUAGUAUUUGUUUUUAAAUUAUAUAUUCAGAGAGUAUGCUUGAAAUAUUUAASAACACAUUUCCUAAAUGUAUGAUACUGUAUUAUUUGGUCAAAAAAAUACAUCAGCUAAGUGUUAGUUAUUACUGUCAAGAAGCUCUUCAGAAAUAAGGAGAGGCAUUGGCUCUGCUUUAUUGUCAAGUGAGCAUUUUCCACUUUUGUUCACCUCAAUACAAACUCUUCCUUUAAUCUAUUUUAUAUAUUAAGCUAGUGGCCUCUGCUCUCAUGGUUUCCUAUUUAUAUUAACUAGUGGAUGGGGGUGCUAAUUAGAAAAACUCAGAUUCAGAUUGCAGUUGACAGCUUACACUUUUAUGAGAGGGGGGGAAAAGGUUGUUUAAGUUAAUAAAAAAGUGACAUUUUUUCUUAUCUUGCAUGAAAAUAUUGCCCUCAUUUCCUCUCAGUGUGUCUGUGUCUCUCUCUCACUACCACCACCACCACCCCCAUUUUUCCCUGCCCCUCAUCCAAAUAGGCCAAUUCCAUUUUCUUGAACAAGAAAGUUUAAACUCAUUACCUCAUUAAGGCCAAUUAGUACUUUAUUAAACUGGGUUGAAAAUAAGAAAACUUGGGAUAGAGUGGUAAGAACCUUGACCUGGCUGUAGAUGUUUAAAAAAAAAAAAAAACUAUUAUGCCACAUAA